GUUCGAUUCUGGCUCAGAUUGAACGCUGGCGGGAUGCUUUACACAUGCAAGUCGAACGGCAGCACGGACUGGUCUGGUGGCGAGUGGCGAACGGGUGAGUAAUGUAUCGGAACGUGCCUAGUAGCGGGGGAUAACUACGCGGCGUAUUAAUACCGCAUACGCCCGCGUCUCAGAGGCAGGAUAAUCUUCGGGCCUCGCACUAUUAAGAGCCGAUAUCGGAUUAGCUAGUUGGUGGGGUAACGGCUCACCAAGGCGACGAUCAACUGGUUUACAGAGGACGACCAGCCACACUGGGACUGAAGACACGGCCCAGACUCCUGGGGAGGCAGCAGUGGGGAAUUUUGGACAAUGGGGGAAACCCUGAUCCAGCCAUCCCGCGUGCGAUGAAGGCCUUCGGGUUGUAAAGCACUUUUGGCAGGAAAGAAACGGCACGGGAUAAUACCCCGUGCAACUGACAGUACCUGCAGAAUAAGCACCGAUAACUACGUGCCAGCAGCCGCGGUAAUACGUAGGGUGCAAGCGUCCAAUCGGAAUUACUGGGCGUAAAGCGUACAGGCGGUUUCAGAAAAAAUGUGAAAUCCAGAGCUUAACUUUGGAACUGCAUUUUUAACUACCGAGCUAGAGUGUGUCAGAGGUGGGUGCGAUGUGGCAGUGAAAUGCGUAGAUAUGCGGAGGAACACCGAUGGCGAAGGCAGCCUCUGGAUUAACAUGACGCUCCGUACGCGAAAGCGUGAGGCAAACAGGAUUAGAUACCCUGGUAGUCCGCCUAAACGAUGUCAACUAGCUGUUGGGGCCUUCGGGCCUUGGUAGCGCAGCUAACGUGAAGUUGACCGCCUGGGAGGCGGAGUGCAGAUUAGAAACUCAAGGUGGCAAGGAUACCACGGCAGUGGAUGAUGUGGAUUAAUUCGAUGCAACGCGAAAAACCUUACCCUUGUAUGGAAUCCGAAGAGAUUUACGGAGUGCUCGCAAGAGAACCGGAACACAGGUGCUGCAUGGCUGUCGUCAGCUCGUGUCUCGUGAGAUGUUGGGUUAAGUCACCAACGCGAGGCGCAGCCCUUGUCAUUAGUUGCUACGAAAGGGCACUCUAAUGAGACUGCCGGUGACAAACCGGAGGAAAAGGUCGGAUGACGUGAAGUCCUCAUACUGGCCCAUGGAUGGGGCUUAUAUUGUGACUGGUCUGGACAGGAUAGCCAACCCGCGAGAGGAAUAAUCCCGAAACCCAGUCAUAGUCGGAUCGCAGUCUGCAACUCGACUGCAUUGAAGUCAGGAUGCUAGUAAUCGCGGAUCAGCAUAUCGCGGUGAAUA
Molecule: ribosomal RNA, 1305 nt
Filed under: uncultured Bordetella sp.
Lineage: Bacteria; Pseudomonadati; Pseudomonadota; Betaproteobacteria; Burkholderiales; Alcaligenaceae
Description: partial 16S-23S ribosomal RNA intergenic spacer
Rfam family: Bacterial small subunit ribosomal RNA
Source: RNAcentral